AAAUCUUCGAUAACCCGAAGGAAGAACGUCUUAAAUCAUUCCUUUCGGAAGUUCUCUGAAAAUACAUAAAGAGUUUUAUGAAUCUUUCAUUGACAGACAACGGACGGAAGGAUAUAAUGGAUAUCGUGGUUGACGGAAACGUCGGCCAACAGGUUUUAAGGUUUUAGGAGGAAUUAUCACAUGGUCGGUAAAGUAAAAUGGUUCAGCGCAGAAAAAGGUUAUGGAUUUAUUGAAAGAGAAGACGGAAGCGACGUUUUCGUACAUUUUUCUGCAAUCCAGGACGAAGGCUUCAAGACUCUGAACGAGGGUCAGGAUGUUGAGUUCGAGAUUGUUGAAGGAGCUCGCGGCCCGCAGGCAGCAAACGUCGUCAAGAAAUCUGCAUAAUAGAUUCUGACAAGGUGUGGCAAAGCAAUUUGCCACACUUUUU
This 427-nucleotide small RNA is filed under the name Schwartzia succinivorans DSM 10502. RNAcentral describes it as "cspA thermoregulator". It matches the Rfam family "cspA thermoregulator". The record is from Rfam by way of RNAcentral. Lineage: Bacteria; Bacillati; Bacillota; Negativicutes; Selenomonadales; Selenomonadaceae.